GGGGUUAUAGUUCAGUUGGUUUAGAGCAUCCCGACCAAACAGUCGGGAGGGUCGUAGGUUCAAACCUACUAAUCA
This 75-nucleotide transfer RNA is filed under the name Marivirga arenosa. Its description in RNAcentral is "Marivirga sp. BKB1-2 tRNA-Trp". It matches the Rfam family "tRNA". Rfam says of the family: Transfer RNA (tRNA) molecules are approximately 80 nucleotides in length. Their secondary structure includes four short double-helical elements and three loops (D, anti-codon, and T loops). Lineage: Bacteria; Pseudomonadati; Bacteroidota; Cytophagia; Cytophagales; Marivirgaceae. The record is from RNAcentral.